GUUAGGAAUAUUGGACAAUGGGCGAAAGCCUGAUCCAGCCAUGCCGCGUGAACGAUGAAGGCCUUCGGGUUGUAAAGUUCUUUAGCCGAUGAUUAUAAUGACUGUAGUCGGAAAAUAAGCCCCGGCUAACUUCGUGCCAGCAGCCGCGGUAAUACGAAGGGGGCGAGCGUUAUUCGGAAUCACUGGGCGUAAAGCGUGCGUAGGCGGUUUUGUAAGUUAGGAGUGAAAGCCCAGGGCUCAACCUUGGAAUUGCUCUUAAAACUGCAAGGCUAGAAUCUCGGAGAGGAUAGCGGAAUUUCCAGUGUAGCAGUGAAAUGCGUAGAUAUUGGAAGGAACACCAGUGGCGUAAGCGGCUAUCUGGACGAGUAUUGACGCUGAGGCACGAAAGCGUGGGGAUCAAACAGGAUUAGAUACCGGGUAGUCC
RNAcentral lists this ribosomal RNA (424 nucleotides) under uncultured bacterium. Its description in RNAcentral is "partial 16S ribosomal RNA". It matches the Rfam family "Bacterial small subunit ribosomal RNA", at positions 354 to 796 of the family's 1533-position model. The record is from RNAcentral.